CGUGGAGCUGUCUCACCCCCUGCACAAGGAGGGAGGGACCGACGGGGGGAUCCGAUUCUGGGAUCCACAGGCCUGACUGAAGGAGGCCCACCCUGCCGCUCACUCUCUGUGGAGCCCCAGCUGCUCAAGAAACUUGGAGAAGAAAAUCAACCCACACGGCGCUCGCAGAGCCUGAUCUCUGUGGUGAGCCAUCUACUCCUGAACAGACUUGGUGCAGCAAAUUAGAUGUCAGAGAUGCCCAGGAAAUCCAGGCGGCACAGGCCCUGGCAGGGGCCAAGCACCCAAGGCGUGCCAGGCUGAAGGCUGAGCCUAUGCGGGUAGCCCCAUGGGAUGAGGUCAGCAUGGAAAAUGAGCCUGGCCCCCUGGGCGUGGUCCUGCUUCUCUGAAACCCUGAAGACAUCAUAAGCCAAUGAAUGUAGGCGUUACUGCCUGAUACAACCCAGCACACCAGUCAAACACCUUGCCAACUCACCCGUAGUGGUUAGGUGGUGGUAUGUAAUGCGCCUUCCUUCCCAAGAGCAUGGAGGGCUUUCCCCUUGUCAUUCACUCUCACUGUGGGAAGGACUAGAUUCUCACUUCAGAUAUGAAUGCAGACAGCAGGGUGAGUAGUCCGAGGCCCAGGUUGCGAGGGCACCUGGCAUCAGAUGCUCUCUUGAGACCCUUUCUUCUCUUCACAGGGAGGUGACCGGUCUACCCAGAGAGUCUGGCAGAAGGUGGAGGGGAGAAAGAAGCAGGGUUGCUGAUCUCAGAACAAGUCUGAAGAGAGUGUGGACAUGGCUUUCUAGGUGAGAAGAGAGAGCUUGUGAAAGGCAGGCAAGGUACUUAGGGUCACACGAGGCCUCUGCAAGAGGCAGCCAGAAAGCCAAGGGCAGAUGGGGGCAUACGGACUUGGGACUUUGGUCUCAAAUGGUUAAGCCUGAGUUCUCCUGGAUCAUCAUGUAUAUUGUAGCCUCCAAAUAUCUUUAGGAGAAAAUACAGGCUUCCUGGGUAAAUACUUCAAGUUACACCAAGCACAGGAGUCAAUAAUCUUGACCUCUCUUAAAUUACCUGAAGCAGGACACCCUGGAGGGAUGAAUGCCCUGAACUCUUGAUUCUUACACUAAGCCCUGUACUCCAAAGCUUCCCACUCUGCCGGCCAAACCCUGCCCUGGUGAGAUAAGUGCAUAGCCACUCCACCGGACCUCAGCAGGGGAAAAUGGUUUGUUUUUUGAAUUAUCCAGCAAACUUGAAUAUCUAUCAGCAUCAAAGAAUUCUAAGGGAUAUAUAAUCAAACCUCCACUCAAUGCCCAAAUCUAAAUACAGUUAUCCCCAGUCUCCACAGGACAUUAGCCAGGAUCCCUCAUGGAUACUGAAAUCCACGG
This 1361-nucleotide long non-coding RNA is filed under the name Chinchilla lanigera (long-tailed chinchilla). Its description in RNAcentral is "lncRNA (ENSCLAG00000022481.1)". The record is from RNAcentral. Lineage: Eukaryota; Metazoa; Chordata; Mammalia; Rodentia; Chinchillidae.